Molecule: small nuclear RNA, 107 nt
Filed under: Castor canadensis (American beaver)
Lineage: Eukaryota; Metazoa; Chordata; Mammalia; Rodentia; Castoridae
Source: RNAcentral
GUGUUCACUUUGGCAGCACAUAUACUAAAAUUGGAACGAUUCAGAGAAGAUUAGCAUGGCCCUUGCACAAGGAUGACAUGCAAAUUCGUGAAGCAUUCCAUAUUUAA